CUUCCUGAGACAUGACUGUCUUGUUGAAUACUAUUCCUCUUAUGCUGCUGAAAAAUAUUUUAUUCAAAAUAUGACUUAUUUAACAGCUAAAAUGUCUAGGUUAUAAUUUCCUUGGUAGAAAGCAUUUUCCAUCUAUUUUUCUUUCAAUGUUCAGAUACAAGUGAAAAAAACCCAAAAAAUCCUCCAAACAUACAACCAUAAUUGCCUAACUCCAAGACCAAAAUAGCAUACAAUUUUGAGGAAAAACUGCCAUGAAAAAAAAAUAGAUGUAUUGGAAAGGACAGAAUUCAGUUAAAAGGUUGCCAGUGUACACAUUUUUCUACUUGUUCAUAAAUACUAAUUUAAUUUUCUGUUCUGUUUUGCUGACAUAUUCUAAAAAUCUCUAUCAGGAGGUGCUUUGUUGACCUUACUCUUACUUGCUAAAUUUUACAAGCAUAGUGGCAGUCGCUUCCCUUGAAAAAGACAUUGUAGAUAUUGUUGCCAGGAGUCGUUGCUAAGUGUAACCCCAUCUAUCCCAUAUGUGAUAAAUAAAGCCAGCUUUUCCAAAAAAAAAAAAAAAAAAGGAGAGAGAAAAAAAAACCCAUUGAUAUUCUCACAGUUUAGAAAAGGAGAUCAACUUUUUAAACAACCCUACCCCCACUGUUCCACCUGCAGCUUGUUAAAUAAAUGCCUGGUGAAGACACCAUCCCCCAAAUCAUCACAAGGAUCCAGGUGUUGGCCAUUUGUGCUAACAAUUUAUAGGUGAAUCCCAUCAAAAGCGUGACUCAGCAGAUUAAAAUAGGUAUUUGAAGAAGCCUGGGAGGGUGGAUGCUAGUCGUCCUCUCCUGAACAUUUGCCCAGAAGGUCGUUAAUUGCUGUGCAAAAUUUCUCCAGAAGUUUAGAAGGUGUUGGUAAUUGGUUGAAAGAUAUUAAUUUAUUUUCCAGGGUGAGAUGUCUUCCAAGAUGAACAGCAAGUUGACAACAAGUUUGUGGUGAAAGUUACAACGCUUUAAAGGACAUAUGAUCUGCUGUGCUUUUCAAAAUCCCCAAAUAGGUAAUUGCCUCUCAGUGAAGGUAGCUGAGCUUCAAGACCUAAUUUCCUCCAGUUUCCUACCAGCUUCUGAAAGGCCUGGUCUUCAGAAAUUAUCAUUGGGCAUCAGGCUCCAGGACAUACAAAUGCUCUGGUUUACAGAAACAAAGGUUCUGCCGAUAAAAUGUCAUUUGAGAGCAGGCAGAACAGCAGAAGCCAAACACUGUUUGCUUUGAGAGUUUAGAAUACAUGCAGACAUGAAUGAUAGCUGGUAAGACCUUAAUAAGUAUCUGGGGAUGUGUUAUUGCUCUGGAGUGUUCCCUGGACUUUGGUGGCAAAAUCCUCCAAGAGAUGUGUUUCUGGAAGGCAGUUUGUGUCCAAAAAUUAU
Molecule: long non-coding RNA, 1397 nt
Filed under: Cyanistes caeruleus (blue tit)
Lineage: Eukaryota; Metazoa; Chordata; Aves; Passeriformes; Paridae
Description: lncRNA (ENSCCEG00000019230.1)
Source: RNAcentral